This is a long non-coding RNA of Lolium perenne, 3485 nucleotides long. RefSeq lists it as uncharacterized. NCBI's taxonomy places the organism in Eukaryota, Viridiplantae, Streptophyta, Magnoliopsida, Poales, Poaceae. The record is from RefSeq and is a predicted model, not a curated record.
AAAAGAUGCCACAGUGACUCCUUAAAGAAGGGAACGACCCUAUUUCAUCCACAAUAGUGUCAUCGCGCUAUUUUCUCCAACCUAUUAGCCCAAGGGUCCGAAUAUUCCUCUUUAAGAAAGAAGAAGUUGCUUUCACCUUUUCGUGGUGAUGAUUUGCAAUAUGUCGAUGCCUCUUCUGAAUUGGAAGAUAAUAUCGCUAAUGCAGAUGAUUGUUGAUAAAUAAUUUAUACUAUGUUGUUGCCUCAUGAAAUGCUGAUGUUAGCCUUCCAAAAUUAGAAACUAUUUUUUGUAUGUGGUUAUGUAUGUAUGAUUAAGUCCACUUUUAGACUAUAUAUCCUUCAUUUUGGGUGAAAUUAUUUAUUUGUAGGCUAUAUCUAUGGUUUUUUUAUAUGUUAUUUCAAAUAUAGCACGCUAUUAGCACGAUAUAGUGUCCACAGUGUUUGAAGUAGGCCACCGCUAUUUUAAACCUUGAUUUUAGUCGACCGCUCGCACAACGUUUCCUGAUGCUGAAUCAUCCUAACAAAUUGGCAAAAGGUAUUGUUAAUUUAAUCAAUGAUCACGAAAGUUUAAACAUGACGGAAUCGGACGAAACCUAGAUUUCCGUGCCAAUCACCGUAAAAGGGCUCAAUUAUGUUAUGUAUUUGCAAAAUAUUUGGGUGUAUAAAAUCAUUUUACAUUGUCGUGUACUCUUUUAAUAUAAAUGCACAUUAAGUUGGUAAACUCUCUUUUAACUUGAACACAUCCAUUUGCAGUACAAGUCUCUGGAAGCUCACAUGGUGAAAAUAAAAUAACUAGGAAGAGAAAGUAAACAUUGCAAAUAUUAGUAUCAGCCAACACUGCUCUUUUUUUCUGAAUUUUUUCCAUUUUACCCAAUUGUUAGUCCACAUUAUCUGGUGCCCUAAAAUAGAACAUCUAAGAGAGUAGACCGAAACCACAGUUAGCUUGCUAAGAGUGCAGACUGAAACCAAAGAUCUUGACAUAGUUUAAUUGUACACCAUGCGUUUAUUUUUCCAACUUGACCAUCAGUUUGAUCAAAAAAGUUGAGAAGUUUUGCUUUUGGCGAAGGGAGCGCCUCUUAUCCUAUUCAACUCAUAGCAAACAUGAUGAAAAUAAUUAUAAAUUACAUAAUGUAAAUAAGGUAUAUCAUUGUAUAUUUCAGAAAAUAUUUUACAUUGCAUGGUUUCCCAAUAAGAAAUUGUACACUUCAUUUAUGUUUAUCUAUGACAAAGCAAACACAAUACUGGAUGUUGCUGAGCUAAACAACACUUUAUACUCACACCGUUUCUAUGACAACACCUUGUGAUUAGAGAUAGUAUGUAAAGAAACCAUAUAGAUGAACAACACAACUACGAGAUUAGUUGGCCCACACAAGAAAACAAUAAUUUAACAACCUCUGCAUUUGAAUAUUAUUGUAAUUAAUUUGUGUAGUUUUUUCAUACAUAUAUAUAACUAGAACUCACAAACUUAGAUAUAUAUUUCUCAUAUAUUAGAGGUGUAAAACUUCUUUUGAGGAUUUAAUAAUCAGAUUAAAUAUCCGCUCAUACUCUUUACCAUCCCAAAUUAAGGAAAAAUGUCAUGAUUGGCCGGCUAUGUUAAUUUCUUUACUCGCAUUGUACAAGUAGAGAGUAUUAUAUAUUCUAUGUAUUGUGUGCACAUAGGAUAUUUUACAUUUAAAUAUCUCAACUUAAGGUUUAAUUUACACGAUUUCAAUUAGAUGUAUCUAGUGUAAUCUGAAUGCCUAGUAUGUGGUAAGUAGCCAACAAUUGCAAUUUUGAAUGAUUUACUUAAGUAUGUUAUGUAGUUGCAAAAUAUUUGGGUGUAUAAAAUCAUAUAUUGUCUUGUACUUUUUUAAUAUAAAUGCAUAUUAAUUUGGCAACUCACUUUUAACUUGAACACAUCCAUUUACAAGCUCACAUGGUGAAAAGAAAAUAACUAGGUAGAGGAAGUAAAGACUGCAAAUAUUAGUAUCAGUUGGCAUUGGUCUAUUUUUUUCUGAAUUAUUCCAUUAUACCCAAUUGACAGCGCAUAUUAUUUGGUGCCCUAAAAUAAAACAUCUACGGGAGAUGCUCUGACAGAGCCCCCAUUUUUCUGCCGGUGGCGUGUUAAGCCAGCAUCUCUUGAUUCUUUUAAUUAAAAAUGGGGAGAAUUUUAUUUCCCGGCCUCUGCCCAUGGCCAUUAAGAAUGAGUACUAAGAUUUUUAAUCUUGGUGAAGAUUAAAGCAUAGUUCUCAAGAUAAAUUGCAUGAGUACCAGCCUAGGCCUCAAGUAUAAAUAGGAACCUAAAUUCGUGUAUGUGAGGAUUUGAACUCAGGUGUUGGGUAUGUACAUCCACUCUCCCAACCAGUUGAGCUAGGCUCUCCUUCGAUGCCGCUGGUUCCCCUCUUGCCCCGCGUGGUGAUGGGAGGAACCGUAAAAAAUCCUCCGCCGCCAGCCCCCCACCCCACCCCUCCUUCCUCUUGGUCUUCAUCUUUGAUCUGGCUGGAGUGAUGAGUUCCGGAAAGCUCCGCCAGCGAAUGUAACAGUGCAUCUUAUGUGUGGAGUUUGUUGUAUCGGGUGGUAUUCGGUCGUACACACCCAUGCUUUUAUCCUGGCCGUUUGUUCUGGAGGGAGCGACCCGAAACUCUAUUCUGUGUUGCCAUCAGAUGACCAGCUGUUCCAUGGUAAAAUCAUAGGCGCAAAAUAUUCAACUAGCUAUGGAGUUUCGAGUCUGUAGUUGAGGAACUUGCUUGUUGUCUGGGUUUCGCAGUAGCAAUAUGCAAGUGGUGGGGGCAGCAUAGGUGAAUUAAGAGUCUUAACUCUCAGGGUGAAAAUUAAAGGUCUAGUCUUAACUGGUUGUGCCUGACAACGGCUAAGUUGAAGGCAUUAUUUUGAGAGCGAGGACUAUUUUCAGGGUGAAAAGCUAAGAUCAUUUAAUCGGGCGACGAUGGUGUUUGUGCACUGUUUCUUUCUUGACGGCCUCGCUUUUUGGAGAGACUGUAGUUCUGGUGUUAUCGUGGUGGUGGAUUUAUUGUUGCUUGUAGGGCCGAAAUACCGUAGCGGGGCUAUUUUUUUUUUUUGGUUUCUUAGUUUUUUUUGGGGGUGCGUGUAUCCGCACUAGCAUCAGGGUAUUGCGUUAUCGAUAUUAAUAUAUUUCUUUUAUCGGAAAAAAUCUCUUGAUUCUCUUUGCAGUUCCACCGUGAUAACCAUCUACGUUCGAUGCUACAUGCAAGAGCUUUGGUGUAUGAAGUUCCCCUGGCUUCACCUAGUUUAACUGUGUUGCAAGCGAGAAGAAGGAAAGAUCAAGGAAUCGACACAUGUUACAUAUGUUAACUCUGACAGUGUAGCUCGGUUGGGUGUGUACCCCUGUAGUUGUUUGUCUCAACUCUCAAAUGCCGCCAAAAUAUGCAUCAUCUUUUUUUUUUUUGCGGGGGAUAUGCAUCAUCUUAUUUGUGCUACGGUUGUAUCUUUGCUCUUCAUCACUUACAUGAUAACAGGGCAUGUGUUGAA